This 560-nucleotide long non-coding RNA is filed under the name Capra hircus (goat). Its description in RNAcentral is "lncRNA (ENSCHIG00000005981.1)". The record is from RNAcentral. Lineage: Eukaryota; Metazoa; Chordata; Mammalia; Artiodactyla; Bovidae.
AUGACUUUAGUUCCCAUGCCGGCGGAGUGCCGACCUGCGAUUUGGGAGUUUAAGGAGCUGGUCCUGGUGCCCAGAAACACUCUUGAUGGUGCUCACAGCCAACAGCGCUUCCUUUUUCCUGAGGGUUGGCAUUCAAGAAAAAGAAACUCUCAUCAGCCUUUGGCUUCCUUACAGCUUCAAAGAGGCAGCGAUAUGCACAGCCCAGGGAAAGCAGCCUUGGCUGAAGAGGAGGAAACAUUCCCAAAGUUAUUCUAUGAAGCCACCAUUACCCUGAUACCAAAACCAGACAAAGACAUCGACAAAAAAAUUUUUUACAAGACUGUAUGAAGUUGCAAACUGUUUCCUAACGCUGGAAGACAUGGUGAUGUAAUACCUACAACUAUCAGGGGCGCUAAAACAGCAAUAACAGUGCCCUCGUCUGCCUGGAAUACAGAAGGAUGGCUGAACAAACACAGAAGAAUGCAACUUUCUAAGAAAAGUCUGCUGGGAACUAGUUCCCACAUUGUUUCUGCCUCUAGGAAGAAAAGCCUGUGACUUGCUUUCUGCCUGACUCCUUAAUG